UUCUUCGGAUUCGGUUUUUUUGCCCAGCCCUAGAUCUAUUCAUUUGGUACAUGGGUUUACUUUGAUGUCAAAACCGAAUCUUGUGACGUAGUAGGGAGGAAAGACCUUCUUGCAUUAUAACCAAAGGCUCCACAUCUUUCACAAGCAUUUGGGAUUCAAGAAUAUUCAACAUCUACCAAACCGAUAUUGUCUUGCUUGUAAAGAAGAGCAAUUAGUUUCAGAAAAUGGUUUAUCUAGCUCAGCUUCAACUAAUAUUUUAGAUUUUUUUUUCAUAUUUGUUGAAUCCAAGCGAUGCUUAUGUGUAAGCAUUGGCCCUCCUAACCUGGAUGUUAAUUAUAUGACUAAUGCAUAAUCUUGAGAAAUAUGAAUAUGGGAUGUUCUUAAGAUUAAUCCACAUUGGUAAGGUAGAAAUCUCAUAAAUUUUGAAAGAGUUUAUAGAGCUUUAAGGGGCGCCGAGAGUGCCGGUCCUGAGAUAUUAAGGGUCCAAUACUAAAUACAAAACCGAGGCCCUUACAUAAAAAGUUUCUCGAUAAAAAAUCAAUUUUACAAUAAAAAAUUUACAACAUCUUCAAAACUAUUAAAAUUUGAUCUUUUUGUAAAAUAACACAUCUUAAUUUUUUUCUAAAAAUUAUCUAUCAAAUUUUUAGAAUCAAGGUUUUUCUGAUCAUAUUUUUCUUAGUUGAUAACAUAGCCAAACCAUUAAAUAUUUAUUGUAAUAUAGUUAAUCGUGAGUAAUACUUUUACAAUUGCAGUUUUGAGAAGCUUCUUUCGGUUGGAGCAUCUGAAACCGGGAUUGUAAACAUUAUAUUAUAGACAAUCUAUAUAUUUUAAUAACUAUUUUUAAAUUUUUGUCUUGUAACUCGUAAGAGGAGGUAGUAGAAAAAGAGUGAAACACAAUUUCCUAUGAAAAAAGAAUAAUUUAGCCUGAAAAAUAAUUAUUCUUAAUUAGUUAUGUUAUUUUUUUACCCAAACAAAUUCAGCCAUGUUCUUUUUAAUCCAUUCAUAUUAAAUAACAUAAAAGGAUAUGUACGAUUUAAUUGUGUUUGUGUAUAAAAAUUGUCUCGUCACUUUUUUUUUAAUUUUCCACAAUACACAUUGAUCCAUUUAAUUAAUAACAAUAGAAAAAGUUGACCUUGUUUUUUUUUGAUAAAUCAUGGGCCCCAUAUGAUUGUUUCACGUGUAUGGGGUCAAGCCCGGGCGUGGCCGAGACAAUAUCAAUAUACCACACUCCCCAAUGAAUAACCCAUUUGCGAGUGUUUAUGAGGAAUAUGGAACAAGAAGAAAGAGACACUUAGCUUAAGACAAAUUCUCUUAUAUUACUGGCCCCAUAACUUAAUCAAUACAAUAUGAAUGAGUCAUCCAGGCGGGAUCGCCAAAAUGUAUUCUUCCUUAUUCUCGGAGCCCGUUCUUGGAUUUUUCACCUAAGGCGUACCCUCGAGUCGGUAAUUCCAUUCAGCAGCCUGGAAAAAGUUUUUCGUUGCCCAUCAAAACCAAAGACUACCACCUGCUUUGAGAGUCAAAGGUGGAAAUUCUCAACCGGAAGUUGCGGAAUAACUUUCCCAGAAGCAUCAUCUGCUCGUUCUUUUGUUUCUGACCAUUGAAAGUAGCUUCACCAAUUGAAGGCCAAAACGAAGCUAUAUAGCUUUUAAGCCUCUGAGAUACUGAACCUUGGAGUUGCAGGUUCAGGAGGUAUUGUGGAGGCCUGAAAUGGAGGGACUCCGAUCAUGCUCCCAACAAACAGACAAAAGCGGUUUGAUGUACUUAGGUGACUGGAGGCAUUUGGAAAAGGAAAACAAGCAAAACAGAGAUUUUGGAGUCUGGAAUCUCGUAUAGGCCAAGACUAGCGGCCUAUACACAAGCCAUUAUGAAUGUGGUCUGUAGUGGUGUGCCUAGCGGCAUAUACUCAGGCUGCUACAGAAAUACAAAAUGCUCGUACAAAAACUAGGGGGGGAAUAGUAUCCUGCACCUAGCGGCCAAAGCCCAACCGCUAUGGCGACUCAGAAGUGAAGACCAAAUUAGACAUGGGGCAUAGCGGCCUAUACGCAUGACACUACAAAAGGAAGCUGUAGCGACCAAUACCCAUGCCGCUACGUUGCAAAUCAGCAGUUGGCCAGUUUACUCAUAUUUAUAUGGGUUAAUCCAGGGUUUUUGGAUCAACCCAUCUUGUUUUAAGACCUAUAAAAAGCAUUUUAGAGAAAUGAAAACUCGAAGCUACCUAGGCAUAAAUCUAUCUUAGUUUUUUUUUAUUUCUUAUGUAGAUAAACUUGGAUGUUUGUGAAUCUUGAUUGUGUUAAAGGAUUUAUUUUGUUAA
Molecule: long non-coding RNA, 2311 nt
Organism: Brassica napus (rape)
Lineage: Eukaryota; Viridiplantae; Streptophyta; Magnoliopsida; Brassicales; Brassicaceae
Exons: 2
Source: RefSeq, a predicted model, not a curated record